RNAcentral lists this ribosomal RNA (119 nucleotides) under Pteropus alecto (black flying fox). The record is from RNAcentral. Lineage: Eukaryota; Metazoa; Chordata; Mammalia; Chiroptera; Pteropodidae.
GUCUACAGCCAUGUCACCCUGAACGUGCCUGAUCUUGUCUUAUCUCAGAAGCUAAGCAGGGUCAGACCUGGUUAGUACUUGGAUGGGAGACCACCUUGGAAUACUAAGUGCUGUAGGCG